GUCACCUCUCACCAUAUACAGCAACAUGAAUGUAUUCGUAUACAACAACAGAAAACAUCAUCUGUCACCAUCCCCCUCUUAUGACCAAAAAAAGGGUGUGCAUGCAUGACAUUAUUUAUAUACAACAUAAGUAAUGACAUAGUAGCAUCUAGUAGGGGCGCUCGUCGUCCUGGUAAGAAGGAUCGUAGCUGCAAAUGGCAUAGUUUUGUCCAUUCUUGCAUUUUGAAAUGCCACAUCCAACAUAAGUAGUUUUGCCCUAUAUCACACCAAGACAGUGGCCACAUUCAUCUCGGACACAUUUGUUUUGCUGGUAGUCAUAAAAUUCCUUCUCGGUGACCUAGUAUUUGGUAGCGGCUGCACUGGUCAUGCCAUCACCGGAGGCCAAGUUCUCGCCGUAAGGCCCCAUUGAGUGCUCCAUUUGGAAGUCCUCGAUUCAUUUGUCGGCAUAAGCUUGAGCGUACUCGGCUAUGGUCUCGUUCCAUUUAAGCGGUCCAUUGCCAACCUUGGCACGAGCUAUGUUAUGUUCAUUGAUGAAGCCGUCGAUCUCUUCCUUGGGUAGGAUUGCGGCGACAUGCGUCAUGAUGAUUGCGAUGGUGCAGAUGCUCAAAAUAAGCUUGACGUUGAACGCCAUUUUGUAUCUCAAUAUGGGGUCUCGGUUUUGUUGUACAAUAGAGAACGUUGAUUUGAUGGAUGUUGGUUUGAGAGGAGGAAUGCACAUAGGGUAAUAUUUAUAGAGACAAAAUAAGAGUAGGGUGUCUAAAAUGGACAAGGAUUGUCUGCCCUUCUGUUUUGUGUGGUCACGGUUAAGCCACGUUAACAUUUUAUAUAUUUUUUUAUAGAGAUAAUAAGACAAAAAUGAAUAGUAAUAUAAAAUGUUGACGUGACUUAACCGUGACCACACAAACAGGAGGGCACGGGAGGGCACCGGAAGUGGGAGGGCAGACAAUCCUUGUCCGUCUAAAGUAGGCCUUAAGAAAUGGGAGGUUGCAUAUAUUUCGAUUCUAUUUAUAGAUAUAGCCAUAGAGGACGGGAAAAGAGAGAGAAAGAAUAGAUUGACUUACAUUAAUUAAGAAUUAAAAAGUUACUUAAUAACACGGUCUAGUGAUAUUUAUUGUCAUUUGUAAUUGAGAGAUUUUAGGUUUGAUUUUUACUAAAAGCGAAUUCGAACCAAAUUAAUAUGGUACCCAUCCCCCACACUGAGUGUAGAUAAUAUCCAAUGUAUUAAAUUAUUUUUUAAGAGAUUGACAAAAAAAAAAAGUUAUGGGAUUGGAAAAAAAAACAGAAUUUGGUUUGGGUAACUAAAAUUUUGUUAUCUUGCAUGUUUUUUGGAUUCCUUUUCGUUGUCCGGAGUUUUUUUUCAAGUGGUUUACCUAGUUAAGGAUUUUUCUGAUACCUUAUCUACAAAAAAUUGUUCUGCUCAUAUUCUUAGUCUUUCGAUUCUUGAAUAAAAUCCAUUUUUUUUCCAAAAAAACGAUUACUUUAUUUUGCGGCAGUCCUAAUUCUUUCAAAAGUGUGAUUGUGUAAAUCUUAGUAGAUUGUGUGUAGGAUUCUAUGAGAUAUUUUAGAUUUCGAUAAUGUACUUGUGUUACUUGGAGAGCAAGAUUAUCCCUUCCUUAUCACAUUAAAUAAAGGCACAAAGAAGUGAGAAAUCAAACAACACAAUUCUCAAAGUCUCUCCACUCUCUCUGCCACCGGCCCUCUCCCUCUCUUUUCCCUCAGUAGAAUAGGCUUACAAUAUGUUAUCAACACACUCCCGUUACUGCGCCAAGAAACUAAAGAAUUUUGGACAAGGAUCUUCUACAUCAUUCAAAGGCUUUCAUCGUUUCCAUCUAAUCCAAGUUCUUAUAAAACACAUAAUCGAUAUUUUAUAAACCCUGAUAGCAUGAAAACAUUCCCCAUGAAUUCGUGAUGCAUGAACACCAAAUUUGUAAGGGUACUAUGUACAUACAACAAGAUUUUAUUUCACUCUCUAAGUACAAAGGCUCAUUUAUCUAAUUGUACGUAAAAAGAAAAAAAAAGAUUAAGCCCUUGUGCAACGGAAAUUAAUUUCAUCUAUUAAGUAAUAUGUAUCCGACGGAAUGCAAUUUCGUCUCUUAUUGUACAUAUUAAAAAACAAAAAAAAAAAAAUUUGUCUUGCGCAAUGGAAAGAAAUUUCGUCUAUUAAGAUAACUUGCCCAAUGGAAGUCUGCAAGACUCCGGCGCCUAAAGUAGUUAGGGUUCAAGGUAUUCGUCGGGCAAGAUUACCUUGGUCCGUUGGACAAGUAUAUUGGCAUAUCUUCACCGAGGAUUUUUGGAGUGGGGAAAACUAAUUUCCACAAUCCAACCAUCAAUACAGUUGAUAUAAGGCUUGUUUAGAUGUGCUUUUAAAAUAAAUGAAAGCACUUUUAGAAAAAAUAUUUUUGGGUUUUAAAAGCACUGUAAGUGUUUUCUGCAAGAAGCACCAGUUAUGUGCUUCUUCCAGGAAGCACUUUAAGACCUUUUCCAGAAUUUACUUGCAUCUUUACUAAUGAUUGGUUCUAAAAAUAUUUUCACCAAAAGCGCUUUCAGUCAUUUCAAAAGCACAUCCAAACGAGCUCCAUAAUAUGAGAUUUUAUACGCCAAAAUUCACUAAAAUAAACAUUUGAGCAUUAGGUAAUGAGACGAAUUCCUUCAAUGGUUGGAAACUAAAAUUAAAUUUUAGCUCUGAAUUUUCCGAAUUUUUACAACUACACUUACCGACUCUAGAAUAAGACAAUGAACAGACCCGAUCAUGAUUUAAAAAUACUUACAAACAAAAUGGUACAAUACACCUAAUAGGGCUAAGGAUUAAAACACUAAGUGUUGGUUGAAUUGAAUGCAUUGUGGGGAUUCGAACUCUACGAAAUUAUUUUUAAUGAUCCAACUAUCAAACUUGUUUGAAUGUAAUAAAAGAUCGCAUACGUAAAAAAUCAUCAAAAAUAAACUUGCACAGCUAGAGAUUGGUCUUAAAGGUUGGACAAUUACAAACUUAGUAUCACGAUUUAACGGCUAUAUUACUUUUUGAUUCUGUUAUUUUGAAUUGUUUUAUAAUUUUUACUUAUUGCCCGACGAAAUGGUUGUUUCCUAGGGCGGGAGGCAAAGCAGUCGUUGGGUAAGGUUGGAACUGUCGACGGGCAAAGUUUCGAGUUUUCCCCCAUUUUUUUUCACAAAAAUCAAAAUUCCCUCCAAAAAUUGGAUUUGCUCGACAGUCUGCGUGGUACAAUACGUCGGAUUAAGGUGUUUCCCCACCCUUUUUUCUGCAAAAACUUUUCACUUUGCAGUAUUUUUUAUCUAAAUCCUUACUCGAUGGAAUGUGUCAUCGAGCAAUCCCCGAAAUCUGACACGUGUAAAAAAUUUAAAUCCUUGCCCGACGAAUGGUUCCAUCAGGCAAAGGCCUUUUCUCCUAAAUCCAUUUGCUGCAAUUCAUCAUCUCCCUGCAUCUCUCACUCUCUCUCCAAAAUUCCUGCAUUGCUAAAAUUAAAGGAAAACUAAUGAAAAAUGUUUGAAAACUUUGAGUUUUAAAGAUAAGAACAAAAUAAAGGGUAAAGUGAAUAGUACCAGGUUUGAUUUUUUAGUGUAAAAAUGUGGUUUUUCGUUAAAAUGAACAGUACCGUGGGCUUUUCGUUAAAACUCCCUAAAAUUAAUGGCUCCACUUUAGCUUUCACCUACAAUCAAGGAAGAAAAUAUCGGUAAUAUCGGAAAUAUCGGUAGUCCGAAAACACAGAAAUAUCGAUGGAAAUAUCGGGAUAAUAUCGAUAUCGAUAAAAAUUACAUGGAAACCACGGAAAUUGUAAGAAAAACUUGGAAAUUUUUAAUGAAACUUUGCAGGAUGUUUAUUUAGUCAAUUAUCUAUUAGUUUAUCACAAAAAAUUGGAAGGAAAUGUAUUGCAUGAUGGAUUUAACUGAUUUAAGUUGAUUAUAUAGCGAGCUGGCAAACAUUGUGAGUGUAGAAAAUAUGUAGUAAUUAAUGAAAGAAGUUUAAACACACCAUAAUCAUUUAUAUAUAAUGAAUUAGUACAAUAUUUUACACUUUAUACAUUGCAUGGUAAGAUACAUGAGUGACUUAGUACCACAUAGAGUUCAUAUGAGGUUCAAAAUUUUCAUUAUCUUCGUCAUCUCUAUGUGUAGAGUAAGUGUAUUUUAGCAUAUUUUCACAAAAACAUAAGUGAUAUGGUGGUCAAGGUGUUGAAGGAGUAAAAUGGGAGGGGUUCGAAUCCCCUUGGUGUUUUUAAAUAUAGAAAUUUAUCCUAGAUAAUAAAUAUUAGCUUGCAAGCCUUGCAGAUAUCUUAACAACCAUAUAAAUAUUACAGGCUGAAUAUGUAAUUACAAACACAUCUAUAGCGAGUUGGAUAAGGUCUAGGUGUGUGGUUGACAAAGGGAGGGGUUUGAAUCCCCCUGGUGUUUUUUUUUUCUUUCUUAUUUUCUUUUCCUUUUCCUUUUCUUCUUUUGUUUUCUCCUACCUUUCAACUAAAUAAUUCAUAAUUUAAAUUUAUAUAACCUUUAUAUAUAUAUAUAAAAUAUAUCUCAAACUUUUAAAAUUAUAAAACAUGCACGUAGUGUGGGUGGAUCUCAAACUUGGACAACUUUUUAAAAUACAAAGAACCCACUACGUGGGUUUUCAUAAUUAAAACAUGACCACAACUUUUUAAAAUACAAAAACCCAACCCACUACGUGGGUUUCUCCCCUACCCUGAGACCCCAUUUCCUUCUCUCUCUCUCUUCUCUGCACUGUCUCUCUCUCUCAAAAGUUCGAAACCCUCUUACCUCUCUCCCUCUCUUGCCGUGACCACACACACACACGCAGCAACACCAUCUGCUCGACUCGAGCAGAUCGAGGGCACCACCAUCAUCACACAUCAUCAGUCUUCUAUCUCCCGCCUCUGCGAGAAUGGCGGAGCCCAUAACUCUCCGGCGAGUCUUCUUUGAUUUUCCGGUUAGGUAAGUCUCGGAUCUCUCUCUCCGUGUUAGUGCGAAGCUCAAAUUAGUUUGAUUUGCUGCACUGCCCUUCGUUCACCACCGCAGAAGAACAGACAGGGAGCUUGUACUGCUCUAGGGGACUAUGGCGAAGGUAGCGCAUUCGUCGUCGCCGUCAUCGCCAUCGUCACCAUCACCGUCGGUGGUCAGGUCAACUCCCUGUCCCUCACCUUCUUACCUCUUCGAUUGAUUCAUGCAUAUGAAUUGUGGUUGUGUUUUCAAUCGCUCUAUAGCUUAGAUCUUGAUCUUAAUCGUGUUUUUGCAAGGUUUUUGGGACGAAAUCGGCUCGGGAAUCGGCACACCCAUUUCCGGCGUUCUUCUCCGAGUAGCCCAAUUCCAAAAUAUCACGAUAAUUUCGGAAAUAUCGCGAUAUUAUCGAUAUUAUCGAUAAUAUCGCGGUAUUUGGACGAAAACCCUUUGGAUACCUAUUAAAAUAUCGGUCCGGCGAAAAACCGAUAAUAUCGGCGAUAUAUCGCCAAUAUUAUCGGCAUUUUCUUCCAUGCCUACAAUAUCUCUUCCCAAGUUUCUCCAUCUCUCAUAGUCCCAUAAAGGUAUUACAUUUAUUUUCAAUAAUUUUAAAGUUGUGAAAUCCGUAAUGAAAAAAUUAGAUAUAGUUAUUGUGAAUGUGUUUUUUAUUAGUAUGUUUUAAUAUUUGAGAUAAUUUUGCUUGAAAAAAUUGGGGAUAUUGUUAAGGAAUGAUAUUGGGAUUUUGGGGGGAUUAUUUUAGGGGUUGAAGAAUGGGUGGGACGGCCAGCUUGGGGGAGGGAGAUGGGUGGCGAGAGAGACAUGUUUGGAUACGUUAUUAACAUUUUCAUUAAAAUUAAUGGCUCCCAUUAUUAUAUGUAUAUUUUUUAAAAUAUUAGAUAUAGUUAGAAAAGUAGGGAAAUUUGAGAAAUUUUUUACAUAAAUGCCUAGGUGCUGCAUAACCGUCACCAUUUCCCUUGCCCAACGAGUAAGGGUUGAAUAUUGCCCUAUAACUACCCAUAAAUGGAGUCUCCCCCGAAGUAAAGCAAUCCCUAAUGGUAGACUCUCGGUAAGUGUUUUUUAAUUUCAUAUUAUUAUUAAUUUUAAUUAUUAUAGAUAUUUACUAAAUUAUUGUAUUUUGAUAACUACACUUGUUUUUUGUCUAGUCUAGACCAAUUUCUAUAUCAACUUGGAAGACUUGGGUACGGUGGAAUGCGUUAAGUGGUUGUGGACUACGAGAUUCAGAGAGUAGAUGUUUGAGCUGCGCACCCAGUACAAGACUUUUGCAAGUCAUGAAGAAGCUCUGACCUAUCCGCCCCAUGAAUUUGCGAAUAGAAUGGACUAGUGGAAGUGGCUCUGUGAUUAUUUUCAGAAUUUAUAAAUUCUGAAACGAGUGAAGCUAUUUUUGUCAUCCGGAAUGAUUUUUUAUUUUAUCUUCAACAAUAUUGUACGAAUUGUGGAAACCUUUAAGGGAAGGGAUCCCUACUUUUUUUUUUUUUUUUUUUAUAAAAAUGGGAUUAGUUGUAGGGUCCACACCACAUCAAACUUUAACGAUUCGAACCGUUUAUUUUUCAAGUUACACCUCAUAUAUCAUCCUUGCAAAAUAUUAGUCAAAUCGGAAAUGUUUAAGACAUUUAAUUGAGUUCAAAGAAAUUAACGAAUACUUUGUUAUAUAAGAAACAAUGAAAUUUUAUCUUGAUAAUUAAAUAGGCAAAUGAUUUCAGAUUGAAUUAAAUUUUUGCAAGGAUGAUUUAUAAAUCGAGACUUACAAAAUAGAUGGUUCGAAUCGUUAAAAUUCGACUUGGAGUGGACCCCACAUCUAAUCCCUAUUUUUUGAAAAAAAAAUAGAGAUUCAUUUGCAUAAAGGGCAUGAAUUGUUAUUAAUUAAAUAAACUUGUUUAAUAUUAUGCUAUUAAUAUAACAAUACUUAGUUAAUUAUUAAAUUAAGUUUUUUUUUUCAUUUAUUAGUUAUCUUGCCCAACAACGCUCUCCGUCGGCCAACGAGAUAAAAUAAUUAUUUUUCUUCUGAUAAGGGGUUACUAACCAUACGAGUAAAGCGAUGUCUAUCGGGCAUCUGCAGUCAACACAAACUUACAUGAUGGAGGUUUGUCGCUUUGUCCACUAGACAAGACCUUGUUGCCCUGACAAAAAUUUGUAUCCGCCGACAAAAAUGUCUUACGACGGUUCUUGGGCGACGAUUACUUCCCGAUGGAGUUCCGUUGCCUUAUCUUUUGCUUGACGAACGUUGUCCUUAAGAGACGAAUUUUGUUCGUCUCCUAAGUUUUUUUUGUUUUUUUUGGGUAGUGGUUGGGUCUCGAUCGUGUUCAGCUGGAUUUAGAUUCAUACGUUCCUAUUAACAUAAUUAAUGUCAAAGCACAACCUUCUUGGAGAAUUAUGCAUGUCAACCAAGAUAUCAAUUUCCUCAAGUUUUUACAACUAUCGUUCACACGUCUUCCGAAAAGUGAAUAUGGUAAAUGGUGCAAUGGCGGCAAUAAAGCAACAUUAUCAUCAUAAUUGUACUUGGUUCUAACAAUUUUCUAGUAAUAACGUUAAAAGAUAGAUAUACUAUGAUUAUAUGUUUGUAAAGGUCCAUAGAAAAUCCUGGCUGUAACUUCAGCUUGUUAAAAAACAUUACCCAAAAAAAAAAAUGGUUAAUCAUUUUUUUAUUAUUUUUCUGUCACCUCUCACCAUAUACAGCAACAUGAAUGUAUUCGUAUACAGCAAUAGAAACCAACAUCUGUCGCCAUCCCCCCUUAAGACCAAAGGCAUUAUUUAUAUACAAUAGUUUCUAGUAGGGGCGCUCGUCGUCCUGGUAAGAAGGAUCGUAGUUGCAAAUGACAUAGUUUUGUCCAUUCUUGCACUUUGAAAUGCCACAUCCAACAUAAGUAGUUUUGCCCCAUAUCACACCAAGGUAGUGGCCACAUUCAUCUCGGACACAUUUGUUUUGCUGGUAGUCAUAGAAUUCCUUCUCGGUGACCCAGUAUUUGGUAGCGGCUGCACCGGUCAUGCCAUCACCAGAGGCCAAGUUCUCGCCGUAAGGCCCCAUUGAGUGCUCCAUUUGGCAGUCCUCGAUUCUUUUGUCGGCAUAAGCUUGAGCGUACUCGGCUAUGGUCUCGUUCCAUUUGAGUGGUCCAUUGCCAACCUCGGCACGAGCUAUGUUGUGUUCCCUGAUGAAGCCAUCAAUCUCUUCUUUGGGUAGGAUUGCGGCGACAUGGGUCAUGAUGAUUGCAAUGGUGAAGAUGCCCAAAAUAAGCUUGACGUUGAACGCCAUUUUGUAUCUCGAUAUGGGGUCGGUUUUGUUGUAUGGUAGAGGACGUUGAAUUGAUAGCUGUUGGUUUGAAAGGAGGAAUGCAGAUAGGGUUAUAUUUAUAGAGACAAAAUAAUAGUAGGGUGUCAAAAAUAGUCCUUAAGAGAUGGGAGGUUGCAUACAUUUCGAUUCUAUAUAUAGAUAUAGCGGUAGAGGACGGGUAAAAAAAGAGAGAAUAGAAUAGACUGACUUACACUAAUUAAGAAUUGACAAACUACUUAAUAUUACAGUCUAGUGAUAUUGAUCUUUAUUUGUAAUUGAGAGAUUUUAGGUUUGAUUCUCGCUAAAGACAAAUCCAAACUAAAUUAAUAUGAUACCCAUCCUCACUCUUGAGUGUAGAUAAUAUCCAAUGUAUUAAUUUUUUUAUGAGAUUAACAAAAAAAAAAAAAGUUAUGAGAUUGGCAAACAAUAGAAAAAAUAGAAUUUGGUUUGGCUCACUAAAUUUUUUUAUCUGGCAUGUUUUUUGGUUUCCUUUUGCCUGUCUGGAGUAUUUCAAGUGGUUUACCUAGUUAAGGAUUUUUCUGAUACCUUCCCUUAUAAAAAUGUUCUGCUAAUGUACUUAUUCUGUUGGAUAAAAACCCACCUAUGUAUAAACAUCCAAUAAAAACCCAAAAUUUAAAUAAAUUGCCACAUAAAAAAAAAGUAACAUAUUAAUAUAAGAUUUUUACAAUUUAUGCCACAACAUUCUAUAAUUGUUUUUGACACACCCCGACCGACAACAAUCUUACUUAAAACCUGGAGGGGCGCAAAACAGAAAACGUGAGUGGGCAAAAACAAACGUUUUACAAAAUCAUUUCAUUUAUCAACAUACUAACCCCUCGCUGUAAAACAUAUAUUAAUUUCCCAGAAUCAAGAUGUAAGCAUAUACAUAUAUAACUGAAAUCAUAUUAAAUCAGUUCAUGCUUCACAUAAUCAUAUUCAUAUGCAUGUCAUGCCAAAGUAUAACAAAGUAAGCUAUCCAGGUAAGUUUAAUUUCAUAGAAAUAUGAUAUGUUAGCCGGAACUCCUGUCGUAGUCUGUACGGCUGAAUUCAUAGCUCAAACUCAAUCUAGCCGGAAUCACUACUAUGACCUAUACGGCAAUAUACUGCACAUAAGUCGGAACCGCUGGAAAGGGUCUGUACGACAAGGUUGGGUGUAAUACAGUUAUGCUCAAUUCUACUUUCUCAAUACUAGUUGUGCGAUAAUACGUUAGUCACCUAUGAGUCGGAACCAUCUAUAGUGGUCUGUACAACAAGACUGUGCACCUAAAUUGGAUCCAAUGUGAGCAUAUGGUGCGGGAGGUGACAUAAUAUAAGAAACAAUGAAAUUUUAUCUUGAUAAUUAAAUAGGCAAAUGAUUUCGGAUUGAAUUAAAUUUUUGCAAGGAUGAUUUAUAAAUCGAGACUUACAAAAUAGAUGGUUCGGAUCGUUAAAAUUCGACGUGGAGUGGACCCCACAUCUAAUCCCUAUUUUUUGAAAAAAAAAUAGAAAUUCAUUUGCAUAAAGGGCAUGAAUUGUUAUUAAUUAAAUAAACUUGUUUAAUAUUAUGCUAUUAAUAUAACAAUACUUAGUUAAUUAUUAAAUUAAAUUUUUUUUUCAUUUAUUAGUUAUCUUGCCCAACGACGCUCUCCGUCGGCCAACGAGAUAAAAUAAUUAUUUUUCUUCUGAUAAGGGGUUACUAACCAUACUAGUAAAGCGAUGUCUAUCGGGCAUCUGCAGUCAACACAAACUUACAUGAUGGAGGUUUGUCGCUUUGUCCACUAGACAAGACCUUGUUGCCCUGACUAAAAAUUUGUAUCCGCCGACAAAAAUGUCUUACGACGGCUCUUGGGCGACGAUUUCUUCCCGAUGGAGUUCCGUUGCCUUAUCUUUUGCUUGACGAACGUUGUCCUUAAGAGACGAAUUUUGUUCGUCUCCUAAGUUUUUUUUUUUUUUUUUUUUUGGGUAGUGGUUGGGUCUCGAUCGUGUUCAGGUGGAUUUAGAUUCAUACGUUCCUAUUAACAUAAUUAAUGUCAAAGCACAACCUUCUUGGAGAAUUAUGCAUGUCAACCAAGAUAUCAAUUUCCUCAAGUUUUUACAACUAUCGUUCACACGUCUUCCGAAAAGUGAAUAUGGUAAAUGGUGCAAUGGCGGCAAUAAAGCAACAUUAUCAUCAUAAUUGUACUUGGUUCUAACAAUUUUCUAGUAAUAACGUUAAAAGAUAGAUGUACUAUGAUUAUAUGUUUGUAAAGGUCCAUAGAGAAUCCUCGCUGUAACUUCAGCUUGUUAAAAAACAUUACCCAAAAAAAAAAUGGUUAAUCAUUUUUUUUUUAUUUUUCUGUCACCUCUCACCAUAUACAGCAACAUGAAUGUAUUCGUAUAUAGCAAUAGAAACCAACAUCUGUCGCCAUCCCCCCCUUAAGACCAAAGGCAUUAUUUAUAUACAAUAGUUUCUAGUAGGGGCGCUCGUCGUCCUGGUAAGAAGGAUCGUAGUUGCAAAUGACAUAGUUUUGUCCAUUCUUGCACUUUGAAAUGCCACAUCCAACAUAAGUAGUUUUGCCCCAUAUCACACCAAGGUAGUGGCCACAUUCAUCUCGGACACAUUUGUUUUGCUGGUAGUCAUAGAAUUCCUUCUCGGUGACCCAGUAUUUGGUAGCGGCUGCACCGGUCAUGCCAUCACCGGAGGCCAAGUUCUCGCCGUAAGGCCCCAUUGAGUGCUCCAUUUGGCAGUCCUCGAUUCUUUUGUCGGCAUAAGCUUGAGCGUACUCGGCUAUGGUCUCGUUCCAUUUGAGCGGUCCAUUGCCAACCUCGGCACG
This 11016-nucleotide long non-coding RNA is filed under the name Malus domestica (apple). RNAcentral describes it as "long non-coding RNA (MDOM_LNC009323)". The record is from RNAcentral. Lineage: Eukaryota; Viridiplantae; Streptophyta; Magnoliopsida; Rosales; Rosaceae.